Molecule: long non-coding RNA, 815 nt
Filed under: Marmota monax (woodchuck)
Lineage: Eukaryota; Metazoa; Chordata; Mammalia; Rodentia; Sciuridae
Source: RNAcentral
CAAUCUAAUUAGUUCUAUUUUUCCAUAACUUGCUGUGAUACACAGCAGGGGGAUCCAAGGUGGGACAUCUCCAGGGCUGCUUGAGUCAAUGGGCCAGUGGCUUCUCCAAUGAUCUUCAUCAUUCACAACAUGCUGAGAUGGUAGGGCACCUCCUACACCUUUAGCUUUCAUGUUCUCUCACAAAAAUUUCUAAAGGCAGGAAAAGGAAACUUCUUCUUCUUUUGUGCUUUUUUAAGGCCUAAGUAAACAACUUCCAGAGUUCCCAGAGGACCACAGAUUACAGUCAUGGGCUCAGUAAACUAUGAUUCAACUUUUGUGGAGUGGACCUGUUGCAUGUGGGAAGAAAAAGAGCAAAAUCUUGCCUGUGUUGAAGGAAAGAAAUGAUGGAUGGAGUAGGAGAGAAUGAUUUGGGGUAGGGAAAGGUAGUUCCAGACACCAUUAGGUUGUUAAUUUUUUAAGUUAAUUCCUCAUGAAGGCCUAUAGAUUCUUAAUAAGCAUCAUCAAUUCAAGGUUUUGAGUAUUUAAAAAAAUAUUAAAUAUUAAAUUCCUCCCUUUAAACUAAUUACAAGAAAACAAAAAGCAAAAAGAUUGCCUUUUUUAACUUAAUACUCUGAAAUGUGGUUUUUGAGGAAGUUAUAUUCUCGGUUUAUGUUUAAAAAGAGGCAUAAUAAAAAUGAAGAGCUAUUGGAUGUUAAUACAUUUCAUACACCUAUUUUAAUAGAUACGUUUUUGUUCCUGAGACCAGAAUCAAAACCCUGAUCAUGUAUUAAGAUACAUGGGUGGUUUCAAUUUGUUGACAAAAUGUAUUAAAAACA